GGCGGCAGGCCUAACACAUGCAAGUCGAGCGCGCCUUCGGGUGAGCGGCGGACGGGUUAGUAACGCGUGGGAACGUACCCUUUUCUACGGAAUAGCCUUUGGAAACGAAGAGUAAUACCGUAUACGCCCUUUGGGGGAAAGAUUUAUCGGAGAAGGAUCGGCCCGCGUUAGAUUAGAUAGUUGGUGGGGUAACGGCCUACCAAGUCUACGAUCUAUAGCUGGUUUUAGAGGAUGAUCAGCAACACUGGGACUGAGACACGGCCCAGACUCCUACGGGAGGCAGCAGUGGGGAAUCUUAGACAAUGGGCGCAAGCCUGAUCUAGCCAUGCCGCGUGAGUGAUGAAGGCCUUAGGGUCGUAAAGCUCUUUCGCCUGUGAUGAUAAUGACAGUAGCAGGUAAAGAAACCCCGGCUAACUCCGUGCCAGCAGCCGCGGUAAUACGGAGGGGGUUAGCGUUGUUCGGAAUUACUGGGCGUAAAGCGCACGUAGGCGGAUUGGAAAGUUGGGGGUGAAAUCCCGGGGCUCAACCCCGGAACUGCCUCCAAAACUAUCAGUCUAGAGUUCGAGAGAGGUGAGUGGAAUUCCAAGUGUAGAGGUGAAAUUCGUAGAUAUUUGGAGGAACACCAGUGGCGAAGGCGGCUCACUGGCUCGAUACUGACGCUGA
Molecule: ribosomal RNA, 663 nt
Filed under: alpha proteobacterium IMCC15047
Lineage: Bacteria; Pseudomonadati; Pseudomonadota; Alphaproteobacteria
Description: bacterial SSU rRNA
Rfam family: Bacterial small subunit ribosomal RNA
Source: RNAcentral